GCGUCGAGCGGCGGACGGGUGAGUAAUGCCUAGGAAAUUGCCCUGAUGUGGGGGAUAACCAUUGGAAACGAUGGCUAAUACCGCAURAUGCCUACGGGCCAAAGAGGGGGACCUUCGGGCCUCUCGCGUCAGGAUAUGCCUAGGUGGGAUUAGCUAGUUGGUGAGGUAAUGGCUCACCAAGGCGACGAUCCCUAGCUGGUCUGAGAGGAUGAUCAGCCACACUGGAACUGAGACACGGUCCAGACUCCUACGGGAGGCAGCAGUGGGGAAUAUUGCACAAUGGGCGCAAGCCUGAUGCAGCCAUGCCGCGUGUGUGAAGAAGGCCUUCGGGUUGUAAAGCACUUUCAGUCGUGAGGAAGGUGGUAGUGUUAAUAGCACUAUCAUUUGACGUUAGCGACAGAAGAAGCACCGGCUAACUCCGUGCCAGCAGCCGCGGUAAUACGGAGGGUGCGAGCGUUAAUCGGAAUUACUGGGCGUAAAGCGCAUGCAGGUGGUUUGUUAAGUCAGAUGUGAAAGCCCGGGGCUCAACCUCGGAAUAGCAUUUGAAACUGGCAGACUAGAGUACUGUAGAGGGGGGUAGAAUUUCAGGUGUAGCGGUGAAAUGCGUAGAGAUCUGAAGGAAUACCGGUGGCGAAGGCGGCCCCCUGGACAGAUACUGACACUCAGAUGCGAAAGCGUGGGGAGCAAACAGGAUUAGAUACCCUGGUAGUCCACGCCGUAAACGAUGUCUACUUGGAGGUUGUGGCCUUGAGCCGUGGCUUUCGGAGCUAACGCGUUAAGUAGACCGCCUGGGGAGUACGGUCGCAAGAUUAAAACUCAAAUGAAUUGACGGGGGCCCGCACAAGCGGUGGAGCAUGUGGUUUAAUUCGAUGCAACGCGAAGAACCUUACCUACUCUUGACAUCCAGAGAACUUUCCAGAGAUGGAUUGGUGCCUUCGGGAACUCUGAGACAGGUGCUGCAUGGCUGUCGUCAGCUCGUGUUGUGAAAUGUUGGGUUAAGUCCCGCAACGAGCGCAACCCUUA
RNAcentral lists this ribosomal RNA (1023 nucleotides) under Vibrio jasicida. Its description in RNAcentral is "bacterial SSU rRNA". It matches the Rfam family "Bacterial small subunit ribosomal RNA", at positions 88 to 1107 of the family's 1533-position model. Lineage: Bacteria; Pseudomonadati; Pseudomonadota; Gammaproteobacteria; Vibrionales; Vibrionaceae. The record is from RNAcentral.